UCCCAGGUGACUCAGUGGCAAAGAAUCUGCCUUCCAAGCAGGAGACAGGGGUUCAAUCCCUGUCCUGGGAA
Molecule: transfer RNA, 71 nt
Filed under: Bos taurus (domestic cattle)
Lineage: Eukaryota; Metazoa; Chordata; Mammalia; Artiodactyla; Bovidae
Also listed under: 5 other names
Rfam family: tRNA
About the family: Transfer RNA (tRNA) molecules are approximately 80 nucleotides in length. Their secondary structure includes four short double-helical elements and three loops (D, anti-codon, and T loops).
Source: Rfam by way of RNAcentral